UACGGAAGGCAGCAGUGGGGAAUAUUGCACAAUGGGCGAAAGCCUGAUGCAGCUAUGCCGCGUGUAUGAAGAAGGCCUUAGGGUUGUAAAGUACUUUCAUCGGGGAGGAAAAAACAAAACUAAUAAUUUUAUUUCUUGACGUUACCCGAAAAAGAAGCACCGGCUAACUCCGUGCCAGCAGCCGCGGUAAUACGGAGGGUGCUAGCGUUAAUCAGAAUUACUGGGCGUAAAGAGCACGUAGGUGGUUUUUUUAAAGUCAGAUGUGAAAUCCCUGGGCUUAACCUGGAACUGCAUUUUGAAACUGAAAUACUAGAGUAUCGUAGAGGGAGGUAGAAUUCUAGGUGUAGCGGUGAAAUGCGUAGAUAUCUGGAGGAAUACCUGUGGCGAAAGCGGCCUCCUAAACGAAUACUGACACUGAGGUGCGAAAGCGUGGGGAGCAAACA
RNAcentral lists this ribosomal RNA (443 nucleotides) under uncultured bacterium. RNAcentral describes it as "bacterial SSU rRNA". It matches the Rfam family "Bacterial small subunit ribosomal RNA", at positions 340 to 774 of the family's 1533-position model. The record is from RNAcentral.